UUCGGUGGCUAUAGCGGUGGGGAAACACCCGGUCCCAUCCCGAACCCGGAAGUUAAGCCCUCCAGCGCCGAUGGUACUGCACGGGAGACCGUGUGGGAGAGUAGGACGCCGCCGGAC
RNAcentral lists this ribosomal RNA (117 nucleotides) under Actinomadura alba. Lineage: Bacteria; Bacillati; Actinomycetota; Actinomycetes; Streptosporangiales; Thermomonosporaceae. The record is from RNAcentral.